RNAcentral lists this transfer RNA (72 nucleotides) under Ovis aries (sheep). It matches the Rfam family "tRNA". From Rfam's summary of the family: Transfer RNA (tRNA) molecules are approximately 80 nucleotides in length. Their secondary structure includes four short double-helical elements and three loops (D, anti-codon, and T loops). Further hydrogen bonds mediate the characteristic L-shaped molecular structure. tRNAs have two regions of fundamental functional importance: the anti-codon, which is responsible for specific mRNA codon recognition, and the 3' end, to which the tRNAs corresponding amino acid is attached (by aminoacyl-tRNA synthetases). tRNAs cope with the degeneracy of the genetic code in two manners: having more than one tRNA (with a specific anti-codon) for a particular amino acid; and 'wobble' base-pairing, i.e. permitting non-standard base-pairing at the 3rd anti-codon position. The record is from Rfam by way of RNAcentral. Lineage: Eukaryota; Metazoa; Chordata; Mammalia; Artiodactyla; Bovidae.
UCCUUGGUGGCUCAGACAGUAAAGCAUCUGCCUGCAAUGCAAGAGACCCAGGUUUGAUCCCUGGGUAGGGAA